AUACUUACCUGGCAGGGUAGAUACCGUGAUCAAGAAGGCGGUUCACCCAGGGCGUGGCUCAGCCAUUGCACUCCGGCUGUUCUGACCCCUGCGAAUUCCGAAAUGUGGGAAUCUCGACUAUAAUUUAGUUAUAUGUCUUUAUUGUCAUU
The sequence is a small nuclear RNA, 149 nucleotides long. Its record names the gene U1. It matches the Rfam family "U1 spliceosomal RNA". Rfam says of the family: U1 is a small nuclear RNA (snRNA) component of the spliceosome (involved in pre-mRNA splicing). Its 5' end forms complementary base pairs with the 5' splice junction, thus defining the 5' donor site of an intron. The record is from Ensembl.